CUGACUAAGCUGCAUGCUGAGGAAC
Molecule: unclassified non-coding RNA, 25 nt
Filed under: Mus musculus (house mouse)
Lineage: Eukaryota; Metazoa; Chordata; Mammalia; Rodentia; Muridae
Description: oocyte_clustered_small_RNA9014
Source: RNAcentral